Molecule: ribosomal RNA, 274 nt
Filed under: uncultured bacterium
Lineage: Bacteria
Description: partial 16S ribosomal RNA
Rfam family: Bacterial small subunit ribosomal RNA
Source: RNAcentral
AUACGGAGGGUGCGAGCGUUAAUCGGAAUUACUGGGCGUAAAGCGCGCGUAGGCGGUUUGGUCAGUCGGAUGUGAAAGCCCCGGGCUUAACCUGGGAAUUGCAUUCGAUACUGCCCGGCUAGAGUAUGGGAGAGGGAAGUGGAAUUUCCGGUGUAGCGGUGAAAUGCGUAGAUAUCGGAAGGAACACCAGUGGCGAAGGCGGCUUCCUGGCCCAAUACUGACGCUCAGGUGCUAAAGCGUGGGGAGCGAACAGGAUUAGAUACCCCGGUAGUCC